This 468-nucleotide ribosomal RNA is filed under the name uncultured bacterium. Its description in RNAcentral is "partial 16S ribosomal RNA". It matches the Rfam family "Bacterial small subunit ribosomal RNA", at positions 28 to 507 of the family's 1533-position model. The record is from RNAcentral.
GACGAACGCUGGCGGCGUGCUUAACACAUGCAAGUCGAACGGAAAGGCCCUGCUUUUGUGGGGUGCUCGAGUGGCGAACGGGUGAGUAACACGUGAGUAACCUGCCCUUGACUUUGGGAUAACUUCAGGAAACUGGGGCUAAUAUCGGAUAGGAGCUCCUGCUGCAUGGUGGGGGUUGGAAAGUUUCGGCGGUUGGGGAUGGACUCGCGGCUUAUCAGCUUGUUGGUGAGGUAGUGGCUUACCAAGGCUUUGACGGGUAGCCGGCCUGAGAGGGUGACCGGCCACAUUGGGACUGAGAGACGGCCCAGACUCCUACGGGAGGCAGCAGGGGGGAAUAUUGCACAAUGGGCGGAAGCCUGAGGCAGCAACGCCGCGUGCGGGAUGACGGCCUUCGGGUUGUAAACCGCUUUCGCCUGUGACGAAGCGUGAGUGACGGUAAUGGGUAAAGAAGCACCGGCUAACUACGUG